GCUUACGGCCACACCGGUCUGAGUACACCUGAUCUCGUCCGAUCUCGGAAGCUAAGCAGGGUCGGGCCUGGUUAGUACUUGGAUGGGAGACCGCCUGGAAAUACCAGGUGCUGUAAGCU
Molecule: ribosomal RNA, 119 nt
Organism: Oncorhynchus mykiss (rainbow trout)
Lineage: Eukaryota; Metazoa; Chordata; Actinopteri; Salmoniformes; Salmonidae
Source: Ensembl